RNAcentral lists this long non-coding RNA (1541 nucleotides) under Olea europaea subsp. europaea. Lineage: Eukaryota; Viridiplantae; Streptophyta; Magnoliopsida; Lamiales; Oleaceae. The record is from RNAcentral.
CCUUGACCUGCUUAGGUGGAACUGGGGCCAAUAAUUAAAAAUGAAAAUGCCAAAUUCUUUUGUUAUUUAAAAUAUAUUUUUGUACGCCAUAGAGGUAGAAAUCAGGCUCACGUGCAGACCCAUUUUCCUAUAUUUCUUUUCCUAAACCCUAUUUUCCACAACAGUUGUAUUCUUCCUCCAGAGCACCUCAGUAGGUUCCAUAGCGCCGCACCUAAUCUCAAAUCGUUUGUUCAACGCCGACAACGCUGCGUUAGUAGCUGCACUAGAAGGAUCCAACCUCUCCAUUCGUCAUACAUCUACAUAAAGUAAGUUCGAAUAAUGCUGAGAUUUUUUUCGUUUUUUCUUUUCCCUAUUUUGAUUCGAAGUUUCCAUUUUUUUUUCCUUUUCCUGUUUCAGUCGUCAUAUGCUUGUUUAAUGAUGAAGUCUUGAGAUUUUUAUUUUUUAUUUUUUCCCGUUUCCUUAAAUUUUGAUUUUUUUUUCCUAAAGAAUUUGUCGACUUUUGGAUGGAUCUGCUUUUAAAGUUUUGACUAGGAUUUUUUGUGAUAGUAUAGAAUUGCAAGUGUGAUUAUGCAAAUAGUGUAGUUUCAGUUUUCUGAUUUACAUGUAUGAAAAAAUUAAUGUGCUUAGAGUAUGUUGUUCUGCCAAUUUAUAUCAACUAUCGACCUUCCCCAUCCCAAGCAGUGAAACUAUUGGUAAUUAAUCAACUACAUAACUAUAUAGGUAUGUUUGCUGUAUUGAACAGAAUUGGACACAACCGUUACAGCAGAAAAGAAAAGAAGUUAAAAUCAUGAUUUAGGUAUAAGAAUGCUCUUCACUUCAAUAUUUUGGCAUGAAUUGGAUAGUGCAUUCUUGGUAAGUACAAUGUGGACCUUCCAUCCACAUCUUUUUGUCCUAUGACCGUGUCUAAUUUAUUUGUGAAAUUAUGCAUGGGGAAUUCAAGUGGUACAAUUGGACUAAAUAAUUCUACUCAAUGUUGAGGUAGCUCUUACAUGAUUUUUCAUUGUUUUUUAAAGGAGGUGAAGAAUCAUAUGACGAACGAACAAAGAAUCAUAUGACGAACGAAGGAGGUGAAGAACUAUUUGCCAUGUUUCAAUCACGAUGCUAAUAAUCUGAUCAACAAGAUGUGAAUAUUUCUUUUAAUGUGACAAUACACAAAGGAAGAGCAAAUGCGGACGGAGAUAAGAAAGGAAAGGGGCAUGAAUGUGUUGUAAUAAUUAAAUGUAAUGACCUUAUUUUACUUAUGCAUUUGAUGGAUGUCGUAGUUUCUUUGGAAUGUAGUAGUAAAGUAAUUUCGUUUUGUAAUUAUAGUUUUUGUAUUAAGACUUUAUUUCCUAUGUGUAUAUGGUAGUAGUUGCAUUCCUAUUCUAUAACACUUUGUCAUUUAAAACUAGGCUCCUUUUUUUCUAUGGUUAAACAUUUAAUCUAUCAUGCCCAAAUUUCUUUAGUACAAAGCUUUUAUUUAUUGAAUCAGGAGUCUAGAAAUGUCAGUUGUUCUUGUGAUUAAGGAAUUUGUGCAAUUGUCCAAAACAUAUGGAACGUAG